UAGAGACGGGGUUUCUCCAUGUUGGUCAGGCUGGUCUUGAACUCCCGACCUCAGGUGAUCCACCUGCCUUGGCCUCCCAAAAUGCUGGGAUUACAGGCAUGAGCCACUGUGCCCGGCUGUCCAUGUCAUUUUUAUUGGGUAGAUAUUUCUGUUCAGUGACUGUUAUAUUGCUUACUUUAUCAUUCCUUUGAUGUGAAUGCUUAGCUUCACAACAGCCUGUUUAUAUAGAUCAUGUUUUCUAUUUUUCAGUUAAUUAAAAAAACCCAAAUUCUCAGUCCUAGCAUUAUUGUGCAUAAUGUCUGAAUGUUUUGGAAUUUCAGGUAAAUAUGUUGGUUCAUGAGAUUUGCACAGAAGCUGAAUUUGUUGUUUCCUGGUGAGACACGUGAUGUUUUUUGCUGUCUUUGUUGCACUAACAUGUCAUUAACAUGUAUGUACAGUGUUAUAUGCUCACAUAUGUUUAUGUGUAGCCUAUGCACCUGUAUUGGAUUUUUCUUCAAUCUCAUUUAUUGUCAGGUAUUUGUGGAAUGCCUGUGGUGUGCCAAGUUCUGCUCAAGGCCUUGGUAUUCAGUAGUGAUCAAAGUAGAUCAACUAGUACCAGUUCUUAAGAGGCUUAUUGUUAAGUGGGGGAAACAAGCAAAUAGACAAAGAAAAAAUAACAUUGUAAGGAAUAUGAAAUAAUGCAUACUAGAAUAAUAUGACGGGAUGGUUAUUGUGAGGUAAGGGGGUUCACACUGAAAUCCUGUCUGAGGAAUCAGGAUUUGAGUGAGACACAAAGACUCAGUAAGUUAACCAGAGGAACAAAGUAUUAGCAGAAAAGGCAAGACUGAUCAAUAUGACUACAUAUUAAAGAAAAAGGCACCGUAGUGUCCGAGAAGUCAGGCGUGUAGCUCAGCGGCGGCCGCGGCGCGUGCGUUUGUGCUUCUGCGUGGGUGUCCGGGUUCUUCUGCCAUCAUGCCGAUGUUCAUCGUAAACACCAACGUGCCCCGCGCCUCCGUGCCGGACGGGUUCCUCUCCGAGCUCACCCAGCAGCUGGCGCAGGCCACUGGCAAGCCCCCCCAGUACAUCGCGGUGCACGUGGUCCCGGACCAGCUCACGGCCUUCGGAGGCUCCAGCGAGCCUUGCGCGCUCUGCAGCCUGCACAGCAUUGGCAAGAUCGGCGGCGCGCAGACCGCUCCUACAGCAAGCUGCUGUGCGGCCAGCAGGCCGAGCGCCUGCGCAUCAGCCCGGACAGGGUCUACAUCAACUAUUACGUCAUGAACGCGGCCAACGUGGGCUGGAACAACUCCACCUUCGCCUAAGAGCCGCAGGGCCCCACGCGGUCUGCAUUGGCUCGACCCGGGAACCCGCAGCACGCAGUGUUCUAGGCUCGCCCAUCCCAACCUUAUGGAGAAAUAAAACGGUUUAGAGACUAAAAAA
This is an RNA transcript of Piliocolobus tephrosceles (Ugandan red Colobus), 1416 nucleotides long. It is a transcript of the gene named macrophage migration inhibitory factor pseudogene, with no coding region annotated. Lineage: Eukaryota; Metazoa; Chordata; Mammalia; Primates; Cercopithecidae. The record is from RefSeq and is a predicted model, not a curated record. The transcript has a single exon.